UACGGGGGGAGCAAGCGUUGUUCGGAUUUACUGGGCGUAAAGCGCGCGUAGGCGGCUUUUCAAGUCGGAUGUGAAAUCCCCGGGCUUAACCUGGGAACUGCAUUCGAGACUGUCUAGCUAGAGUAUGGGAGAGGGAAGUGGAAUUUCAGGUGUAGCGGUGAAAUGCGUAGAUAUCUGAAGGAACAUCAGUGGCGAAAGCGACUUCCUGGACCAAUACUGACGCUCAUGUGCGAAGGCGUGGGGAGCAAACAGG
Molecule: ribosomal RNA, 253 nt
Filed under: uncultured bacterium
Lineage: Bacteria
Description: partial 16S ribosomal RNA
Rfam family: Bacterial small subunit ribosomal RNA
Source: RNAcentral